RNAcentral lists this ribosomal RNA (269 nucleotides) under uncultured prokaryote. Its description in RNAcentral is "partial 16S ribosomal RNA". It matches the Rfam family "Bacterial small subunit ribosomal RNA", at positions 524 to 792 of the family's 1533-position model. The record is from RNAcentral.
UACGAAGGUGGCAAGCGUUGUUCGGAAUCACUGGGCUUAAAGAGCACGUAGGCGGAAGCGAAAGUGUCUUGUGAAAUCCCCCGGCUUAACCGGGGAAUUGCUUGGCAAACUGCGUUUCUUGAGGCAAGUAGGGGUGUGUGGAACUCUUAGUGGAGCGGUGGAAUGCGUAGAUAUUAAGAGGAACGCCAAUGGUGAAGACAGCACACUGGACUUGUCCUGACGCUGAGGUGCGAAAGCGUGGGGAGCGAAAGGGAUUAGAUACCCCUGUA